AGCGUAGACGGAGUGGCAAGUCUGAUGUGAAAACCCGGGGCUCAACCCCGGGACUGCAUUGGAAACUGUCAAUCUAGAGUACCGGAGAGGUAAGCGGAAUUCCUAGUGUAGCGGUGAAAUGCGUAGAUAUUAGGAGGAACACCAGUGGCGAAGGCGGCUUACUGGACGGUAACUGACGUUGAGGCUCGAAAGCGUGGGGAGCAAACAG
This 208-nucleotide ribosomal RNA is filed under the name uncultured bacterium. Its description in RNAcentral is "partial 16S ribosomal RNA". It matches the Rfam family "Bacterial small subunit ribosomal RNA", at positions 568 to 775 of the family's 1533-position model. The record is from RNAcentral.